Molecule: small nuclear RNA, 107 nt
Filed under: Myotis brandtii (Brandt's bat)
Lineage: Eukaryota; Metazoa; Chordata; Mammalia; Chiroptera; Vespertilionidae
Source: RNAcentral
AUGCUUGCUUCGGCAGCACAUAUACUACAAUUGGAAUGAUACAGAGAAGAUUAGCAUGGCCCCUGCUCAAGGAUGACAUGCAAAUGCAUGAAGCGUUCCACAUUUUA